Molecule: long non-coding RNA, 1690 nt
Organism: Vitis riparia (riverbank grape)
Lineage: Eukaryota; Viridiplantae; Streptophyta; Magnoliopsida; Vitales; Vitaceae
Exons: 2
Source: RefSeq, a predicted model, not a curated record
AAGUAUUUCAUAGAAGGAUGCCCUAAAGAAAGGUGGCGGCGUAGAUUCGGCGUUGCAGGCCGCAGAAGAACGAAAGCUCAGGAUGAUAGGAAGGGCUGUUGCUGCUUGGAGUUGGAGAUCAUCUUCUUCUUCUUCUUCAUCUUUUGCCCUCCAUUGCCAAAUUUAAUGGAUUUUUAUUAGGGCUAGUUUCCAAAAGCAAGCAUCACUCUAUCGUCAUUUCUAUGUGUAAACUUGAGAUUUCCUCUGGAAUUCCACUUGUUAAUUCUUUCUGCCAUUCGAGUAGGUGAGGUUUCUCUCUCCCCAUUUUCGGAGAUUUCCUUAAGCUUGCCCUCAACGAGGGACUGCAAUUUGGUGCUUGUAGUCAUCAGGCUACUUAGAAGCAUGGCCUGUAAUUGAGCAUGAGAUUGUCACUUAUUCAUAGCCUUUGUGAGGAUAGACAAGUAACCGAGGCUUUGAACCUUUUCUCUGAAAUGACCACUUGAUAAUUCAUGGCCUAUGUGAUGAAUGUAACCAAAAACAAGUUACCACAAUGUUGAAUGAAAUGGUAGAUAGCAAGAUAAUGCCAAAUGUAGUUCUACCUUUAAUACAUUGGUGGUUGGAUUUUGUAAAAAAGCAAUGGUGAUAAAAGCAUAUGAUGUAGUUGACAUGAUGAUCCAAAGAUGUUUGACAUUGUUUGUAGUCCGCAAUGAGUAAGACAGUUAAAUUAUUUGAUGGGAUGGCAAGGGCUUCGCGUUCGAUGUUGUUAGCUAUAAUAUCUUGAUCAAUGAAUACUGCAAGAUUCAAAGGAUAGAUGAGGUCACGAGUCUCUUUGAAGAAACAUAUAUGCUCCUAUGCACAGUUUGUGCCAUGUGGGAAGACUCCAGGAUGCAAUAGAACUUUUUCAAGAGAUGGUAGCUCAUGGCCAAAUUCGAAAUCAUUUUACUCGGGUACCUAUCCAAAAAUGGACAUCUUGCCAAGGUUUUGACAUUGCUUAAAGCUUUUGAAGAUUGUAAUUUGGAUCCUGAUAUGCCAAAUUUAUACUAUAGGUCAUUGAUGGCAUAGAUAUGAAAGGCUGAUGAACUUGAAGCUACAAGGGACCUCUUUUCCAAUCUCUCUUCCAAAGGAUUGCUACCUAAUGUUCGAACUUAUUGUAUAAUGAUCACUGGGCUUUGUCAAGAAGGUUUGUCAGGGGAGGCAGGUGAGUUGUUUGAGGAAAUGGAUAUAACGAGACAUCCCGGGCAAUUCAACUUCUUAAAGAAAUGGCUGCAAGGGGAUUUCUAUUGAUGCAUCCACUGCAACCUUGUAAGUGUAAAUGGUUUAUGAUGAUGGAUUGGAUCAACCUGUAAAACAAAUUUUGUAUGAGUUUAUGCAACAGGGCUAUGAUUUUCAUCAACUCAAAAGUAUGGAGUUCUUGGCAGUACCCUCUUGUGCAUUUGCUUGUGAAUUGUGAUUUUGGAACCAAAAGAGUUUGAUUUUAUGACAAUGUCAUGUUGUUGCAGUAGUUCCAAUUUCUUUUGGGAUUUGUAUGAGCACUGUAUGAGCAAUGAUUCAUUGGUUAUAUGUAUUUGAAUUUUUUUUCCCCUUGUAUGGUAUAGUAUGCUCUCACCAUACUGGCUUGACUACCAUUGCAGGUUGUUUUGGUUGCAAGUAUUCCCUUAUCAUAUUGGGGCCAUAAAUUUUUUUUGAAGAACAAGGAAAUCAUAAUAAAUUA